Molecule: long non-coding RNA, 995 nt
Organism: Acanthopagrus latus (yellowfin seabream)
Lineage: Eukaryota; Metazoa; Chordata; Actinopteri; Spariformes; Sparidae
Exons: 2
Source: RefSeq, a predicted model, not a curated record
CAUUAAGAAACACUCUUAAUUUCAUACUGAUGCCUCUAUUUGACGCACAUAAGCAAACAACACCCUCAGCGAGAAUAUUGGCUAAUACACUUAGUAUAGUUAUUCUAUUUUAGAUUAUAGCAAUUUUUAUGUGCUGAAGAUAAGUCAAAGGGUGCAACAGCCUGAGGAAAGAAGUUUCUCUGUCGUCUGAUGGUACGGCACUAAAACACAGUCGAUACAUACAUUACCUCAUUGCAACGCACCCUGACAUACAGCUGUGUUUGAAAAAGAAAAAUAGCGUUAAAAAGACAUUGCGUCUUGCCUUCACUUGCUUUUGAAACAAACGUCUGAACUGUCCAGAUGAAGACAUUUAUCAAGGUGGUGGUUCUCUUUUGUCCACAGGGGGCGCCAGAAUCAACAGAUAAUGAUCUUUGUAGCUGCUUUAACUUCAUGCUACUUCAUCCUUCUGCAGUACUGCUAUACUGAUUUAUCUCUUCACCUUUUGGACGGGCUGACCCAUGGUAACCACUGCGUGACACAACGUGGGUGCGGACAAAGGCGUUAAAUGUAGACCAGCCGCUGACCAUAUGACAAUGCCACUCAUACUGUGCUGCAUCAGUGUGGUCUAUAAUCUAGAAAUGUCAUAUAUUCCACAGAGUUGGUAUUUUUUACUUUUGAUAAUCUAGGUACAUUUCAAUGAUGAUAGUUCCGGAGUACUUUACUACUCAGGACUUUAUCUUGUUAUGUAGGAUUUAAAUUUGUUGUUAACUUUCACCUUACAAGAAAAUAAUCAAUAUGGUUUGAGGUACCUGAGCUAUACUUGGGUACUUGUUGUUCAUAGAAAUGUAUUCAUUCUCAUCGAGCUAUUUGAGGCUAUAAUUGAGUCUGUGGUUUCAAAUGAAUUUUCCAUAUUCAUAAUUGUAGAGCAGCAACGUGGCUCUGUCGCUCCUUGUCCAAGCUGGAAAAAAAAAAAAAAAAGAAAAACAGUGUUAAACAAUAAAAAUAAAAAUAAAAAA